This 433-nucleotide ribosomal RNA is filed under the name uncultured bacterium. RNAcentral's name for it is "partial 16S ribosomal RNA". It matches the Rfam family "Bacterial small subunit ribosomal RNA", at positions 29 to 507 of the family's 1533-position model. The record is from RNAcentral.
AACGAACGCUAGCGGCAUGCCUAACACAUGCAAGUCGAACGAGACCUUCGGGUCUAGUGGCGCACGGGUGCGUAACGCGUGGGAACCUGCCCUUAGGUUCGGAAUAACCCCCCGAAAGGGGUGCUAAUACCGGAUAAUGUCUUCGGACCAAAGAUUUAUCGCCUUUGGAUGGGCCCGCGUUGGAUUAGCUAGUUGUUAGGGUAAAAGCCUACCAAGGCGACGAUCCAUAGCUGGUCUGAGAGGAUGAUCAGCCACACUGGGACUGAGACACGGCCCAGACUCCUACGGGAGGCAGCAGUGGGGAAUAUUGGACAAUGGGCGAAAGCCUGAUCCAGCAAUGCCGCGUGAGUGAUGAAGGCCUUAGGGUUGUAAAGCUCUUUUACCCGGGAUGAUAAUGACAGUACCGGGAGAAUAAGCUCCGGCUAACUCCGUG